This 273-nucleotide ribosomal RNA is filed under the name uncultured bacterium. RNAcentral's name for it is "partial 16S ribosomal RNA". It matches the Rfam family "Bacterial small subunit ribosomal RNA", at positions 524 to 796 of the family's 1533-position model. The record is from RNAcentral.
GACGAACCGUGCGAACGUUGUUCGGAAUCACUGGGCUUAAAGGGCGCGUAGGCGGGCUGCCAAGUCUGGGGUGAAAUCCCACGGCUCAACCGUGGAACUGCCUCGGAUACUGGCGGCCUCGAGGGGGGUAGGGGCGUGCGGAACUGUGGGUGGAGCGGUGAAAUGCGUUGAUAUCCACAGGAACUCCGGUGGCGAAGGCGGCACGCUGGACCUUCACUGACGCUGAGGCGCGAAAGCCAGGGGAGCAAACGGGAUUAGAAACCCCAGUAGUCC